UUAAGCGACUAAGCGUACACGGUGGAUGCCCUGGCAGUCAGAGGCGAUGAAGGACGUGCUAAUCUGCGAUAAGCGUCGGUAAGGUGAUAUGAACCGUUAUAACCGGCGAUUUCCGAAUGGGGAAACCCAGUGUGAUUCGUCACACUAUCAUUAACUGAAUCCAUAGGUUAAUGAGGCGAACCGGGGGAACUGAAACAUCUAAGUACCCCGAGGAAAAGAAAUCAACCGAGAUUCCCCCAGUAGCGGCGAGCGAACGGGGAGGAGCCCAGAGCCUGAAUCAGUGUGUGUGUUAGUGGAAGCGUCUGGAAAGGCGCGCGAUACAGGG
This 325-nucleotide ribosomal RNA is filed under the name Escherichia coli NE037. RNAcentral's name for it is "bacterial LSU rRNA". It matches the Rfam family "Bacterial large subunit ribosomal RNA", at positions 1 to 364 of the family's 2925-position model. RNAcentral also lists the same sequence under 2 other names. Lineage: Bacteria; Pseudomonadati; Pseudomonadota; Gammaproteobacteria; Enterobacterales; Enterobacteriaceae. The record is from RNAcentral.